AGUAAACGCUGGCGGUAGGCCUAACACAUGCAAGUCGAACGGCAGCACAGGAGAGCUUGCUCUCUGGGUGGCGAGUGGCGGACGGGUGAGGAAUACAUCGGAAUCUACUCUGUCGUGGGGGAUAACGUAGGGAAACUUACGCUAAUACCGCAUACGACCUACGGGUGAAAGCAGGGGAUCUUCGGACCUUGCGCGAUUGAAUGAGCCGAUGUCGGAUUAGCUAGUUGGCGGGGUAAAGGCCCACCAAGGCGACGAUCCGUAGCUGGUCUGAGAGGAUGAUCAGCCACACUGGAACUGAGACACGGUCCAGACUCCUACGGGAGGCAGCAGUGGGGAAUAUUGGACAAUGGGCGCAAGCCUGAUCCAGCCAUACCGCGUGGGUGAAGAAGGCCUUCGGAUUGUAAAGCCCUUUUGUUGGGAAAGAAAUCCAGCUGGCUAAUACCCGGUUGGGAUGACGGUACCCAAAGAAUAAGCACCGGCUAACUUCGUGCCAGCCGCCGCUGUAA
Molecule: ribosomal RNA, 506 nt
Filed under: uncultured bacterium
Lineage: Bacteria
Description: partial 16S ribosomal RNA
Rfam family: Bacterial small subunit ribosomal RNA
Source: RNAcentral